UUUUGGACAAUGGGGGAAACCCUGAUCCAGCCAUCCCGCGUGUAUGAUGAAGGACUUCGGGUUGUAAAGUACUUUUGGCAGAGAAGAAAAGGUAUCUCCUAAUACGAGAUACUGCUGACGGUAUCUGCAGAAUAAGCCCCGGCUAACUACGUGCCAGCAGCCGCGGUAAUACGUAGGGUGAAAGCGUUAAUCGGAAUUACUGGGCGUAAAGCCUGUGUAGGCGGUUCGGAAAGAAAGAUGUUAAACACCAGGGCUCGACCUUGGAACUGCAUUUUUAACUGUCGAGCUAGAGUAUGUCAGAGGGAGGUAGAAUUCCACGUGUAGGAGUGAAAUGCGUAGAUAUGUGGAGGAAUACCGAUGGCGAAGGCAGCCCCCUGGGAUAAUACUGACGCUCAGACACGAAAGCGUGGGGAGCAAACA
RNAcentral lists this ribosomal RNA (420 nucleotides) under uncultured bacterium. Its description in RNAcentral is "partial 16S ribosomal RNA". It matches the Rfam family "Bacterial small subunit ribosomal RNA", at positions 362 to 774 of the family's 1533-position model. The record is from RNAcentral.